RNAcentral lists this ribosomal RNA (250 nucleotides) under uncultured bacterium. RNAcentral describes it as "partial 16S ribosomal RNA". It matches the Rfam family "Bacterial small subunit ribosomal RNA", at positions 524 to 773 of the family's 1533-position model. The record is from RNAcentral.
UACGGAGGAUCCAAGCGUUAUCCGGAUUUAUUGGGUUUAAAGGGUGCGUAGGCGGCCUGUUAAGUCAGGGGUGAAAGACGGUAGCUCAACUAUCGCAGUGCCCUUGAUACUGAUGGGCUUGAAUUGACUAGAGGUAGGCGGAAUGAGACAAGUAGCGGUGAAAUGCAUAGAUAUGUCUCAGAACACCGAUUGCGAAGGCAGCUUACUAUGGUCAUAUUGACGCUGAGGCACGAAAGCGUGGGGAUCAAAC